UCAGUGAACAUCAACACGUGAACACAAACAGUAAAUUAUUAUGAAAGAUAAUAUAAACACAAUAAUUUAAUAAAAAUGAAAUAACACUAUUAUGUGCAUCUGAGCAUUUUUGCGAUGCAGUUUUCGUAUUAAGUUAAUUGGGGACGGUAUAGUCACAAAUUUAUAGACCAUGGCAUUUACAAUCGUAUAAAUAAAUAGGUUGUUGAAACUACGACGUAGCUACUAAAAUCUUAAAAAAUGAUGAAGCAAACGGAAAGGGAUCUGACAGUAGAGAUAAAGAAAGAAUUAAAUUUAAUGUAUCUAUAUGUCCGGCAAAACAUAUAUUUUUUUAGCGCAGUUUUUUUAUGUUUUGUCAUGCUGUAUGUUCUGCGACAUAUGGUGUUCAAGGGCUAAUUACAUAAGUGUGAAUUUCUUAAUUGCUGCGUGCUUUUGUAUGAUAGCAUGAAAAUGUUGAUUGUUCUCCAUUUAUAAGUACAAGAAAUAUUUAGAAAAGACAUAGCUUACCUCAAUGGAGAUUUACCCUGUUAUUUAUAAAAAACGUUAAAGCACACAAGUUUUACCUCUUUCUGUCAAUUACAAAUUGUAAAGUGCGACAGUGACAAAACAUAUUUUAGUGUUAAUUAUAAAAAAUAAUGAUGAUUUGCAACAAUUCUUGUAAAAAAAUAUUGUAAUAAUUUGAUCGAAAUUAUAAUGUAAGUAUUUGGCCAAUAAUGUAUUAAAAUUAUUAUGAUUU
This is a long non-coding RNA of Plodia interpunctella (Indianmeal moth), 733 nucleotides long. RefSeq lists it as uncharacterized. Lineage: Eukaryota; Metazoa; Arthropoda; Insecta; Lepidoptera; Pyralidae. The transcript has 2 exons. The record is from RefSeq and is a predicted model, not a curated record.